Molecule: long non-coding RNA, 307 nt
Organism: Alligator sinensis (Chinese alligator)
Lineage: Eukaryota; Metazoa; Chordata; Crocodylia; Alligatoridae
Exons: 3
Source: RefSeq, a predicted model, not a curated record
GGGUGCUGCUUUCUUGCGGUGUGAUCUGCCCUUCAACCAUGAGGAUCCUUUACCUGCUCUUUGCUGCUGUCAUGAUCCUUUUCCUCCAGGCUGUUCCAGGCGGAUGGGAAGAAUAGCCCUUUUAUGAAAGAUGCAGUUUUCUAGCCUGGUGUUGAGUGCAAAACAAGGAAUCCUUGCUAUUUUGAAAGCCAAAGGCAGCUAUUACAGCACCCUGCAAUGCAGAAGCAACCACGGCCACUGCCGGAGACUCUGCUUCCACGGGGAACGGUGGAUCGGCAAUUGCAACGGUGGGCAUCAACACUGCUGC